Molecule: ribosomal RNA, 499 nt
Filed under: uncultured bacterium
Lineage: Bacteria
Description: bacterial SSU rRNA
Rfam family: Bacterial small subunit ribosomal RNA
Source: RNAcentral
CUACGUGCCAGCAGCCGCGGUAAUACGGAAGGUCCGGGCGUUAUCCGGAUUUAUUGGGUUUAAAGGGAGCGUAGGCCGGAGAUUAAGUGUGUUGUGAAAUGUAGACGCUCAACGUCUGACUUGCAGCGCAUACUGGUUUCCUUGAGUACGCACAACGUUGGCGGAAUUCGUCGUGUAGCGGUGAAAUGCUUAGAUAUGACGAAGAACUCCGAUUGCGAAGGCAGCUGACGGGAGCGCAACUGACGCUUAAGCUCGAAGGUGCGGGUAUCGAACAGGAUUAGAUACCCUGGUAGUCCGCACAGUAAACGAUGGAUGCCCGCUGUUGGUACCUGGUAUCAGCGGCUAAGCGAAAGCAUUAAGCAUCCCACCUGGGGAGUACGCCGGCAACGGUGAAACUCAAAGGAAUUGACGGGGGCCCGCACAAGCGGAGGAACAUGUGGUUUAAUUCGAUGAUACGCGAGGAACCUUACCCGGGCUUGAAUUGCAGAGGAAGGAUUUA